This 245-nucleotide ribosomal RNA is filed under the name uncultured bacterium. RNAcentral's name for it is "partial 16S ribosomal RNA". It matches the Rfam family "Bacterial small subunit ribosomal RNA", at positions 15 to 262 of the family's 1533-position model. The record is from RNAcentral.
GAUCAUGGCUCAGAUUGAACGCUAGCGGCAUGCCUUACACAUGCAAGUCGAACGGUAACAGGUCUUCGGACGCUGACGAGUGGCGAACGGGUGAGUAAUACAUCGGAACGUGCCCCAGUCGUGGGGGGAUAACUACUCGAAAGAGUAGCUAAUACCGCAUACGAUCUGAGGAUGAAAGCGGGGGACCUUCGGGCCUCGCGCGAUUGGAGCGGCCGAUGGCAGAUUAGGUAGUUGGUGGGAUAAAA